UACGUAGGGACCGAGCGUUGUCCGGAAUCAUUGGGCGUAAAGAGCGUGUAGGCGGCCCGAUAAGUCCGCCGUGAAAGCCCAGGACUCAACCCUGGGAUGCCGGUGGAUACUGUCGGGCUAGAAUCCGGAAGAGGCGAGUGGAAUUCCUGGUGUAGCGGUGAAAUGCGCAGAUAUCAGGAGGAACACCGAUGGCGAAGGCAGCUCGCUGGGACGGUAUUGACGCUGAGACGCGAAAGCGUGGGGAGCAAACAGG
RNAcentral lists this ribosomal RNA (253 nucleotides) under uncultured bacterium. RNAcentral's name for it is "partial 16S ribosomal RNA". It matches the Rfam family "Bacterial small subunit ribosomal RNA", at positions 524 to 776 of the family's 1533-position model. The record is from RNAcentral.